Molecule: transfer RNA, 57 nt
Filed under: Loxodonta africana (African savanna elephant)
Lineage: Eukaryota; Metazoa; Chordata; Mammalia; Proboscidea; Elephantidae
Rfam family: tRNA
About the family: Transfer RNA (tRNA) molecules are approximately 80 nucleotides in length. Their secondary structure includes four short double-helical elements and three loops (D, anti-codon, and T loops).
Source: Rfam by way of RNAcentral
UGGCUCAGUGGUUAAGAGCUUGGCUGCUAACCAAAAGGUUGGCAGUUUGAAUCUGCC